AGCAGCGUGUGAACAGGACUUUUAAUUUGAUCUGGUGUGGUGACGUCAUAGAGCUGCGCCGCGCUCCUGCAUUUGUUUCAGCUGAAGAAAGACGCAGCAGCGUGUGAACAGGACUUUUAAUUUGAUCUGGUGUGGUGACGUCAUAGAGCUGCGCCGCGCUCCUGCAUUUGUUUCAGCUGAAGAAAGACGCAGCAGCGUGUGAACAGGACUUUUAAUUUGAUCUGGUGUGGUGACGUCAUAGAGCUGCGCCGCGCUCCUGCAUUUGUUUCAGCUGAAGAAAGGACAAAGUGUUCAAACAUACAGAAAAACUCCUGGUGAAGCAACUGAGAUCCACGUAAAACAUUAAUAUAAAGAUGGCAUUUAUUAAAGAGGAGAGUGAAGACAUGAAGAUUGAAGAAACAUUCAGAGUCAAACAUGAAGAUACUGAGGAACAAACAACAAUGGCGUUUAUUAAAGAGGAGAGUGAAGACAUGAAGACUGAAGAAACAUUCAGAGUCAAACAUGAAGAUACUGAGGAACAAACAACAAUGGCGUUUAUUAAAGAGGAGAGUGAAGACAUGGGGAUUGAAACAUUCAGAGUCAAACAUGAAGAUACUGAGGAGCAAACAAGGAUGUUGUUUAUUAAAGAGGAGAGUAAAGUCAUUAAGACUGAAGAAACAUUCAGAGUCAAACAUGAAGAUACUGAGGAACAA
Molecule: long non-coding RNA, 692 nt
Organism: Labeo rohita (rohu)
Lineage: Eukaryota; Metazoa; Chordata; Actinopteri; Cypriniformes; Cyprinidae
Exons: 4
Source: RefSeq, a predicted model, not a curated record